RNAcentral lists this long non-coding RNA (2010 nucleotides) under Apis dorsata (giant honeybee). RNAcentral describes it as "uncharacterized LOC102680791". Lineage: Eukaryota; Metazoa; Arthropoda; Insecta; Hymenoptera; Apidae. The record is from RNAcentral.
AGAAAAUUCGAGAGUUAUUAAUAUUAUCAAUAUCAAUUAUAGUUUUCUUAAAAUUUGUUAGCAACAAAUGAAAAAUUUGAACUCAUGUUCGAGAGAAUGGCUAUCUCGGAAAUUCAGGGCGAAGGUUCCAGAGGUUCCGGUUACGAUACUCACUACAGGUCGUCGCCAUGUACACGCUAGUAUCGUGGCAAGAUCCGGACGAAGGAGUAUCAGGAAGAAUGGAAAGGGGAAUGUCGGUCAGUAGGCCUUUCCUUGCAAUGACGGUACUCCGUUUAACGCCUUGGGGCUACCUAGGAAUGUUGGAAUAGCGUACAACUUUAUGUCUCUCCUUUUCUUUCUUAAAUCUUUUUUUCUUUUCUUCUUUGUACACUCCUACUUCUCUAAAUUAAUAAAAUUUAUCUGUAUACAGCUUACACUUCCUUUUGGAACAUUAUAAAAUAAAUUUGAUGUACAAGAUGCAACGUAAACUUACCGGUUGAUCGAACAUUGAUUAUGGAUAAGUUUCAUGGAAGUUUAUGGUUUAUAAUUUAUGUAAACAGCUAAAAGUUUCCGUUACGACCGGUUCCUCCAUGCAUUUCAAUAUUACCAUGCUUUGACACGACAAAAAAAAAAACGUCUAAAUACACAAGAGCGCCUUUUUAAUUCCAACGAGCUUCAAAGCGCUCUCGUUCCAGCUUUAUAUUUACCGCUCUCUCUGCAGGUGUUACAUAUUUUUCGCGCAGCCGGUAACGCGCAUAGGAAAAGAGGAAGCGCGUUCGAAAGAACGUUUACGCUUACUCGAACAGCACCGUUUCGUUUGAACGUUAACACGGAUGAGCCCAGGCCACUGAACGAGAGCAAUGGACGGUCGCGAAACGGCCACGGUGAAACGGGCGCGGUUCACUGCAUAUUUCCAUGCCGGUGUAGCCCAGGAUAUCGCGAGUACCGUAAAGGUGAAGAAGCGGGUCGUUGCCGGAUCGAAUUCCGCGCGUACCAGUCCACAGAACCACAUUAAUUUUCAACGUGCGCGCUAGAAUUACACCGGAUCCUUUCGUUCGGUGAGAAAAAUGGAAGGCAAUACUGCGGGAGUACCGUAAAGUUGGAAGGAGCAAUACGUUCUAGAAUCGAAUUCCGGACGUGUCUGUGCGAGCUACAUGAAUUUUUCCCAAGCUUCUUCCCGUUGAAUAUCGUACUGACUAUCUGACUGCUUAAAUAAAAGAAAAAAAAAUAAAAAUAAAAAAGGAAAAAUAAUAAGAUAAGAAGGAGAGAGAAGAGAAGAGAAAAGAAGGUAAGAGAGGUUAGGAAGGAUCCAUGAUUGUGACUUCUGACUACUUGAAUAAAAAAAGAUAGUAGGAAGUAGAGAGAGGACGAGAGAAGAAAUAGGAAGUAUCACAUUGUAGAGUAGAGAUUAGAAGGGAUACGGAUCUAUCGUUGUGAUACAAGAGGAAAUCGAGUGUUUGAAAGAUCGUUGAAUACGACUUCGUAAUUACGGAUGGUUUUGGGUCAUUUGAACGAUCGAUGACCCGUUUCAUCUACUAUUGAAAUGUUAUACGUUACACGGAUACACGUUUCAUGCCGGAGCUUUAUCCGGAGCAAAGCAAGAAUUUUAUUAUUUACCGCAAAGGAGGAGUUUCAGUCGGCGAAAUUUUAGAUGUGAACGAAUCCAACAGGAUCGACGGUUACCCGUGUUUCCUGGUGUUACGUCGGUGUCCAGAGACUGUGGCGUACGUCGACAGGGCCGUAGAAUUCUAGAAGGGGGUCAUCAUACGAGGCCGGCUCCGCCGAACGCACCGAGCCAGGACAGUAUACGAACGUCAUUCGGCGCGGACUGAACGGCGAAAGGCGCGUUACCUGCCGAGCGGUACCGCAAUUUCGAAUCCAAGUCUGCCUCUUUCGUUUCGUGUCUCUCUACGAAAGCAUUUCGUUCCAGGGGAAAUAGGGGUUGCGAUUCAGUGGAACGAUCAUCGUUCGACAUUUUUAUCGAACAAUCGUUCACGAUUUUCUGUCGUUUGCCAAGUGCGAGAAGAGGAA